RNAcentral lists this ribosomal RNA (382 nucleotides) under Dromaius novaehollandiae (emu). Its description in RNAcentral is "partial 12S ribosomal RNA". It matches the Rfam family "Bacterial small subunit ribosomal RNA", at positions 794 to 1380 of the family's 1533-position model. Lineage: Eukaryota; Metazoa; Chordata; Aves; Casuariiformes; Dromaiidae. The record is from RNAcentral.
GCUUAGCCCUAAAUCUUGAUACUCACCUUACCAGAGCAUCCGCCUGAGAACUACGAGCACAAACGCUUAAAACUCUAAGGACUUGGCGGUGCCCUAAACCCACCUAGAGGAGCCUGUUCUAUAAUCGAUAACCCACGAUACACCCAGCCAUCUCUUGCCAAUACAGCCUACAUACCGCCGUCGCCAGCCCGCCUAAUGAAAGAAUAGCGAGCACAAUAGCCACUUCGCUAACAAGACAGGUCAAGGUAUAGCGUAUGAGAUGGAAGAAAUGGGCUACAUUUUCUAACAUAGAAUAUCACGAAAGAAGAUGUGAAAUACCUUCAGAAGGCGGAUUUAGCAGUAAAACAGAAUAAGAGAGUCUAUUUUAAACUGGCUCUAGGGC